This 234-nucleotide long non-coding RNA is filed under the name Lathyrus oleraceus (garden pea). Its description in RNAcentral is "Pisum sativum (pea) long non-coding RNA (PSAT_LNC038334)". The record is from RNAcentral. Lineage: Eukaryota; Viridiplantae; Streptophyta; Magnoliopsida; Fabales; Fabaceae.
UUUUCUUUUCUUUCUUUUUUUAUUUUUUUUCUUUUCAAUUCUUUUUUAUCGCGUAUUUUUUUGAAAAUAAACAUGCUAUGAUGCAAAUGAUGCAGACAAGACUGGCUGGCUGUGCAUCUCAGAACACGGGAUCGAAGCUUCGGUUUAAACUUAGAACCCUAAUUCAUCUCAAACCCAAAGUCAACUGAGAAACUGUCAUCUGAACCCAAAGUCACCAACAGGACCACAAGUCAC